This 18580-nucleotide long non-coding RNA is filed under the name Musa acuminata (dwarf banana). RNAcentral's name for it is "long non-coding RNA (MACU_LNC003545)". The record is from RNAcentral. Lineage: Eukaryota; Viridiplantae; Streptophyta; Magnoliopsida; Zingiberales; Musaceae.
UUUUUUAUCCCGAUUUCUCCAGAUCUUGUGAGAAGAUCUGACAAGUUCGUUCCUUUGUUCAAAUUUCGAUAUUUUUUGUGCGAUUUGUGGUGUCCGAUUUCGUGUUCGUGUGAUUUGUCGUUGAGAACCCUAUGAUGUUGGUUUUGGCUCUCCUGAGUUCGAGCUUCUCGGGGGGCUUUCGAUUGUUCGAUUUUACGAAUCUAGGGAUCUGUGGUGCCAGUAGAAACUCGUUGAGUUCCUCAAUGGAUCGAUGAAUCAUCUGAUUUUUUACUGAAAUUGUGAUCUUCUCUUCAGCGUGCCUCUCUCUUUCUUGUUAACUUUAGCUGUUAUUGUACUGUAGCAGGCUUCAAGAGCAGCUCUGAGCAUGUCCCGGCGGCUCCGGUGCGCCCUCCAGGUCUUCGAUCUCAAGGCACUAUUGCUUCUCUUCAUCGGCGUUCCCACCCUCGUAUUCGUCAUCUACGCCCAUGGCCAGAAGAUCACCUACUUCCUUCGGCCGCUGUGGGAAUCCCCUCCUAAGCCCUUCAGGACCAUACCUCAUUACUACCACGAGAACGUCUCCAUGGAGAACCUGUGCAAGCUCCACGGGUGGGGCAUCCGGGAAAUGCCGAGGCGUGUGUACGAUGCCGUCUUGUUCAGCAAUGAGCUCGACAUCCUGGAAGUUCGUUGGAACGAGCUCAGCCCUUACGUCUCGGAGUUCAUUCUGCUCGAGUCCAAUUCAACAUUCACCGGCUUGAAGAAGCCCCUCUCCUUUGCAGAGAACCGCCACCGCUUCAAGUUCGUGGAGUCACGGUUGACUUAUGGGACUUUUGGUGGGAGAUUUGUAAAAGGGGAGAAUCCUUUUGUCGAGGAGGCUUACCAGCGGAAGGCAUUGGAUCAGCUUAUCAGGAUUGCCGGAAUCAGUGAUGAUGAUUUGUUGAUCAUGUCCGAUGUUGAUGAGAUACCUAGUGGUCACACUAUCAACCUUCUCAGGUGGUGCGAUGAGAUUCCAGAGAAGCUUCAUCUCCAGCUUCGGAACUACCUCUACUCCUUUGAGUUCUACCUUGAUGAUGAUAGUUGGAGGGCUUCAGUUCACCGUUACCAAGCUGGGAAGACCACAUAUGCCCAUUUGCGUCAGACAGAUGACCUAUUAGCAGACUCCGGGUGGCACUGCAGCUUCUGCUUCCGGCACAUCAGCGAGUUUAUUUUUAAAAUGAAUGCAUAUAGCCAUGUUGAUCGUGUCCGAUUUGCUUAUUUCUUAAAUCGUUUCAGAAUUCAGGAUGUCAUAUGCCAUGGAGCUGACCUUUUCGACAUGCUUCCUGAGGAACACACGUUCCAGAAAAUAAUUGCCAAGCUGGGGCCAAUUCCUAGUACAUACUCUGUUGUAAAUCUUCCAGGUUAUCUGAUUCAGAAUGCUGACCAGUACAGAUACCUCCUUCCGGGGAACUGCAAAAGAGAAAGAGGCUAAGCAAAUUAGUGGCUGUUGUAGACUGAUUGAGAUGUUACAGAAAAACAUCAUCUAUAGACUGAUUGUCAUCACCUGACAUGUAAGUUGAGUAUCUGACCUAGGUUGAUCUCUAUCACGAAGAAGAGGGCAAGCAUCGAGAUUGUCAUGUUUAUAUGCACAAUAAUUUUCUGAAGAGCUACUAGUUUCCGUGUGCAUGCAUGCGGCCCACUGAAUAAGCUCUGUUGACUGAAUACUAUGGGAGAUUGUUCACGCCUUCUUUCCAUCUUGGCAGGUGAUAUUACACCUCAUUGUUGUAGGAUAAAAAACAAGUGACCUUUCCUAAUAUUUGAUUUCUGGGGUUCAUUUUUCUCUGAAGUUAAUUUAUUCAUGUAUUCUUCUACCAACUGGGCUUGAUGCACCAUAGACUCCGUGAUUGUAAUAUAUGACUUGGUUGAGUUCUGCUUUUGGAUUCAUUUGUUUGUUUCACCAUAUGAGGAUAUAAGAGUGCAUUACCAAAAACCUAAUGCAUCCAGCUUUUGUGUAUGUGACUGCAAUUAUAUGUAACUGAAGAUUUUGAAACUUUGCUGAUGUCCUGCAUGUUCUCCAUAUACUGGCAUAUGCCCCAGCAUUGGAAGAUACAUGAAGAUACUUAGGUGGAAAUUAUCUUUUCAUGGUAAAUUCAACUCAUGACAUUCUUGCCUUUAUAUUUAGGAGGUGUCACUACCAUUAAGAUAUUCCAAAACAUCAAGAUUUUCUGAACUAUUUGGAGUUCAGUAUCUUGGGAUUUCUUUUACCAUUCAUCUGUAUAUAUAUACACAUCUUUUCUUAAUCCUUAUGUUUCCUAAUCUUCUUUUCCAAUGCAUGUACCAAAUUACUUUUUGUGUUUCAUCUUCAUGGUCCCUUCUGUACCAACUGUAAGCUGAAGUCAUAUGCUUAUCAUCUGCAGUCUUUUUUAAACAGAUUUGACCCUGCAAAACCAUAAUGUAGAUAUGUAAGGAAUAGUGACUUUGAUUUCAUUGAGUCACAGAAGCUUAGAUCAGUCCUUAAACUAGUUUUAUUGAGUGAGCUUUGAAUCUAAUUAACUCUGGAAUUUGUUCAGAUACUUCCUGUUUAGUAUUGAAUAAUAUAAUUGCCUGGUUAAGCUUCCUGUGGAAUACUGUUUGGACCUUCAUUGUUAUUGCGAAUGUAGCAAACAAGCUAUGGCAGUUCUGUAUGCCCAAUCUUCCUUGCCAUUGACCCUUUAAAUCUUGUCUCACUUCUUUAUUUUUGUGUGACAUUGCAGAUUAAAGUUUAUGCCUUGUGGAAAAGUAGGUGAUUCUGCCAUGUUGCUAUGAUAUUGUUUUACCUAUGUUUUGCUUAAGUAUUUUGAGCUUUGCAAUUUCUUGGAAGUUCAAGAAGAUUUAACUUUUUAGGGAAUGCAAGAACAUUGAGAAAAGUUCAUGUGUAAUUUCAUUUGGGGAUCAGAAAUGGAGAACAAAAAAUAUUGGUUAUAAGAUUUUACUACCAAAUCUAUUGUACAGUAUCCUUUUUCUUAACAAAGGGGAUAUGGUUAGAUUUUUACCAACUAAACUAAAUAGCACCUUCAAGUUUAUUAUACAAUUUUGGUAAUAAUAUUUAUUUAUUAUGUCUGAAAUGUUGAUAGAAAUUUUUAUCAUCUUGAAAGAGUUUUAGCUUAUCUCACUUGUGCCAAUCUCCAUAGAUCUAAAGACCUGUUUAUUUAUGUUGUUAAUGAUAAAUCAUGAUGUGAAAUAAGAUAAAGAGAAAAAAAAAAAACUAAACUCUUUUUUUUCAAAGAGAUAACUUAAUAAAAUUUGAAAGAUGAAAAUGUCCCAUUAAUCUUUCUUUCUUUCCCUUUUAUACAUCCUUCGGACAUUGAAUCUCUCAACUACCUAGUUAAUGAGUCACAACUUAUUAAGAAUCAAGUAUAUAUUAUAAUAUAUAUUAAAUUCAUGGUGCAUUGUACUUUGAUGAUUUUAAAUUUUCAUAAUUAUCUCAAGAUGUGAAUCAUUUAAUUUGUUAAGAAUCAAGCAUAUAUUAUAAAAUAUAUUAAAUUCAUGGUGCAUUGUACUUUGAUGAUUUUAAUUUUUUAUAAUAUCUUAAAAUAUGAAUCAUUUUUUAGAAAUUUGAUAGGGUUAAGCUUGAAAUUUAUUGUCUUGUAACUUAGGAGCAUUCAAUACUCAUUAUGCACUGUAUCAUUCUCUCCGGAUGAUAAAUAACUCGAGUUGUCGUUAUUAUUAUCUUAAACGUUAAAUGUUGAGUGACUGAACAUUCACAGUGACCAUUUUUUCUUUGAGUUUAUUGAGAGUUUUUAUUGAAAAACGUUUUUUUUUUCAAGAAUACUCAAAUAAGAUCUCCUUCUUCAAAAAUCAUCAUAAAAUAUUGCUUGUUAGCCUUUUCUUUCUAAACUUGGUUGUUACCUUAAGUGUUUUCUUUGCUUCUUUAUGAAUUUUUGUCAUGAUAAUAGCAAAAUCCUCUCCCUUUGAACUUGAUAAAAGUGAUUUAGGUAUUUUAGCAAGAUCUAGAUAAUGAGGUGAAAUACGAUCAUAAAUAAUCUCAAAUAGACUCUUGCCUAUAGAAUGAUUAACCAAAGAGUUAUAAGCGAAUUCAGCUUUAGCAUGAGAUCCCAGAUCCCAUUAUUUUGAUCUUUUCAGCAAAGCAUUGAAACAUAUUAUCCAAAGUUCUAUUAACAACCUUAGUUUGUCCAAUUGUUUGACGAUGAUAAUAGGUUGGUGUCAAAUUUCUUCCAAAAAUUCUCUAAAAGUAAUUAAAUUUAGGAUAUCUGAUGUAAUAGAUUUAGGAAUUUUGUGAAGUUUGAUCACUUCAUUGAAAUAAACGUUAGCAUCCAUGAUUUUCUUGCAAGGAAUAAAAUGUUAUUUUAGAAAAUCGAUCAACAACAACAAAGAUAGAAUCUAUACCGUUUUGAGUUUUCGAUAAAUCAAUCAUAAAAUCCAUACUAAUAUCUUCGCACGAAGCAUUAGGAAUUAGUAAAAGAGUAUAUAUAUCAAAGAUUUUGAGUUUGCCCUUUUGAAGUUUAGCAAAAAUAUUUUACUAAUAUCAUUUCACAUAACGUGUAACAUCUUGACAAAUUAUUGGUAAAAAAUAUUUCACUUUGAUGAGAAGUAUUGUUUUGUCUCUCCCAAAAUGACCUUCUAAUCCAUUAUAGUGCAAUUCAAUACUCUUUUAGAUAAUAUUUAGAAAUACAAAGUUGGAUUCCAUGAAAGAGAAAAUCAUCUUCAAUUUUAUGAUAGGAUUCCAUGAAAGAGAAAAUCAUCUUCAAUUUUGUGAUACUCACUUGUACAUAACUUUUAUGUUUCCUCAAUAUCUUCAUUAUUACAAUAAGUACUUCUUAUUUCAUCAAAUCAUUUUAGUUUGGCUUGUAUAGUAUUAAGAAACCCUAAUUGUCGACUUAGUACAUUUACAAUUUUAUUACACAUUUUAUUCUUAUACUUCAUGACAAAAGUAUACUUUUGUAAAAAUGUCACCCAUGUUGCAUGUCAUAUAUUAAGAUUUGCUUGAGAAUUUAUAUGUUUAAGAGCUUUAUGAUCAUAAUUUAAGAUAAAUUCUCUUUGAAUCAAAUAAGGUUUCAAAUUGUCGUAGUGCUUGAAAAAUAGCAUAAAAUUCAAAUAUCAUAGGUUGAAUAAUUCUUUAUUGUAUUGUUAAACUUUUCACUAAAGAAUGCAAGUGGAUGUCCUUCUUGGCUAAGUACUCUUAUGUGGCAUCAUAAUCAACUUCAAAUAUUUUAGAAAGAUCUGAUAAUACAAUAAUAAAAGCAGCAAAUAAUUUCACCUUUCUUGUUUGCCACAAGUGUCCAUUCAAACACUUAUUUCUUUAUGUAAUCAAUUAGAGGAGCUGCAAUUGUACUAAAAUUUUGAAUAAAUUAAUGAUAAAAGAAUGUCAACCUAUGAAAACUCUGAAUAUUUUGUAGGAAUGUUAGUGUUAGCUAAGUCUAGAUAACUUUAAUCUUCUCAUAAUCCACUUAGAUACCUGUAGGGGUUAAGGUGAAGCCUAGAAAAGCUAGGCUAGAGGUCAUGAAGGAAUACUUCUUAAGAUUUAUGUAUAAUUUUAUUGCUUUCAAUGUUGAUAAGAUAGUUCUCAAAUGUUCUAUGAAGUUUGUUAUGACUAUAAAUUAGAAUAUCAUCAAAGUAAACAAUAAAAAACUUCUUAAUAUAAGGGCAUAGAAUUUUAUUCAUUACCCACAUAAAGGUGCUCGAAGCAUUUGAAGGUCUAAAUGACAUAGUUAAUCAUUCAUAUAAAUAUUCUCGAGUCUUAAAAAAUAAUUUUCCAUUCAUCUCUUAGAUUAAUAUGGAUUUGAUGAUAAUCGCUUCGAAAAUCGAUUUUAGAAAAAAAUUGAGCACUAGCGAGCAUAUCAAACAUAUCCUCCACAUGGGAAUAGAAAAUCUGUACUUGAUGAUAAUCUGAUUGAUUGCUCGAUUAUCGAUGCACAUCUGCCUAGUUUUAUCUUUCUUUAAAGUCAAUAGAGCUAGAACGAAACACAUGCUUAAGCUUUUUAAAAUAUAACUCUUGUAUAAUAGAUCUAUAACUUGUCUAUUUAAUUCUUUAUGUUCUUUUGGACUCAUUUGGUAGUGAGAUUUGUUUGACAAAAUUACCCUUAGAAUUAGAUUGAUUCAAUGUUGAAUGUGUCGAAGAAGAGGUAAGCCACUAAAAAGUUCUUAAGAGUAGAUGCUUUUGAAUUCCUCCAAAAUAUUUUUACUUCACCAUAAAUUUCUAUAUAUUGUAUGCAUUCUUUAGCAACUAAUAUAAAUACAACUCCACUUUUUUUGCUCUAUUGUAAACUUAUUUAAAAUAAUGAAGUUAUUUCUCUUGUAAACUUACUUUUUGCAUGACAAAAAUAUACUUCUAACUCGAUUGAAUUUAAAAGUACAGGUGUUCUUUCUACCAUCAUGUAUAGCAUACUUAUGAUAUUGUCAUGAUCUUUCUAAGAGUAUAUGACUAAAAUCUAUUGAUACUAUAUCACACCAUACGUUAUCUUUAUAAUUUUUUUUUCAUCGAAAAAGAAACUAGGUAUCGAUUAGUAAUUUGUACCUCAUUGUCUUUCUUUAACUAUGGUUUUGUCUUGAGCUUAAGCUUGUCUACCAUAUCUUAAGACACAAUAUUCUCAUAAUUGUCACUAUCAAUAAUAAGAGAACAAAUUUUAUCUUAAGACUUGUAACAUGUCUUGAAAAUAUUAUUUUAUAACCAUUCUUCAUUAGAAUCAUCUCUUUGAGUAGCAAGCACUCUAUGGAUUACCAAGCAUUCACCUUCUUCGGAUGUAAUUUCUUCAUAAGCCUCAUCGUGGUAUUCAUCAUAUAUUGAUUUUUUAUCUUCAAAUUAUUUAUUAAUAUCUUUUUCUUCGGUAAAGUUAACUCAUCUAUUUAAGCACUCGUUCAUGUAGUAUCCCACAUGUUUGCAUUUAAAGAAAGUAGGAAGGUAAUUGGUGCGACUAGAUUAUCAUCCAUAGUUGGUAGGAGUUAAUUCGGAUGUAUUUUUGAUGAUUCUGUUAGCUUUCGAUCUACUAGCAUUAUAACGAGUGGAGUUAACUUUAGACGGGUAAUGUAAAGGAACAUUAGAAUAUCUCUUUGCUCCACUUUAAGUAAGCUUUACUUUAACUUUUAGCGCUAAUUGAUAAGCAUAAGAUAACCUCCAUAGUCAUUGCAUCUUUACUUUAUCUAUGAUUUCAAAUCAUAAUUUGUAGGCCAUCGACAUAUCUUGCAACAAGUUGUUCUUCCAUCUCUUGAGUAUUAUAUCGGGUCAUCAACUUGUGGAAUUCUUCAAUGUAGUUGAUGACGGUUUUGCUAUGCUAAAGGUUGUUAAAAUAUGAAAAAAAGAGUUUGAACAUAAUCAAAUGGAAGAAAAUUCUCAUGGAACCAAGAUUUCAUCUUCUCUCAAGUUGAAAUAUUUAUCUUUCCUUUCCGAAGGCAUGGCUAUUGCAUCUUGUCCUACCAUAUUGAAGCAUAAUCGAGAAGCUUUAUAGUAAUUAAUUUUACUUUUCAAUCUUCGAAUAUUUCCUUGUAUUUAAAGAAUUUCUCAACGGUACUAAGCCAAUCAAAAAACUCUUUAGGCUGAAAUUGAUCAUGGAACUUUGGUAAGUCAAUCUUGAUAUUAUCAUUUGCAUGAAAAUAUCUCUCCAUAGAUGAGUCUGUGACAACUUCUUUGGAUGCAAAGAGAAUCGAUCAUAUCUUCGAAUACAUCACUCGCAUAAAUGUAACUUAAGCCUCUAAAGCCAUGGGUUUCUUGAUGUUUAAGGCACAUAGUAAACUCUUCAACAUGUCUCCUUAGUACUUCAAUUUCUACAACCAUUUCAUCUAUAUAUGGUUGCAUCAUUCUUUCGUUACGUCACCCUCUACCCCUUGUAAUUAUUGUAAGAAGAAAGUACUCGAAUAGCAUAACAAGACUCCGAUACCAAAUGAUGUAAAACAAGAUGAAGAGAGAAGAAGAGGAUAAGAAAAAGAAUUGAGAUACAAGAGAACAAAAGAAAAAUAUCAUUUUUUUCAAAGAGAAUUAUCUCUUUAAAAACAUACCUACAAGCUAGUAGCUCAAAAUAUAAAAGUUUAAUAAGGUUUUAAAAAUAAAAAUAUCCUAUUAAUCUUCUUUCCUUCUUUUUUUUUUUUAUAGAUCCCUUUUACGUUGAAUCUCUCAACCAUCUAGUUAACGAGUCAUAAUUUACUAAAGGUCAAAUACAAAUUAUAAUAUAUAUUAAAUUUAUAAUAUAUUAUAUUUUGAUUAUUCCAAAUUUUUAUAAUUAUCUAAAGAUAUGAAUCAUUUCAUUAAAAUUUGAUAAGAUUAAAUUUAUAAUUUAUUGUCUUGAAAUUCGAAAGCUUUCAAUGUUUAUUAUUGCAAUUACUUUUGUGUGAAGCUAUCUAAAGGUUUCUGUCAUUUACUAAGUUUAAAUAAAUAGGGAAGAAUAAGAUUAAUCCUUUAUAAUUCUUUUAUAAUUAGAUGAUCAUUACGUAUAAAAUUAAAUCAGAUCUCAUAAUCCUCUUAGAUCAAUACUUUUAAGUGAAUCUCCACUUUUCAAUAGUAUAAGAUAAAAAAAAACCCAAAAAAGAAUAUAAUAAAAAUUUUAAAUAUUUUUAUAUUUCUUAAUAUUGAUAAAAUAUUCACGUAUUCAAUCCCAAAUAAUUAUAUAUAGUAACCUCGUGCCUUUGAUCAUUUCUUUAUCACGUGAUACUUGUCAAUGUAAGAUUCGUGCAGAGGUUUGAUUGAGACUUUAAGAGUUGCAUCAGUAACAUGAAUUGUUCAUCGGUCUAUUAUGCGAUGAAGUUCGUGCCUGAUGAUCACGACUCGUGGUAGUGCUACGAGAGCCAUCUCCUCGAUUCACUCUCGCUCUCUCUCUUCGAUCCUUUCUUCCACCGACGCAGUAAACCGGCGGGUCUUCUCCUUCUCCUCCAGCCAACAAGAAGAAGGCUUCCCGGACUCGCUCUCCCUGGUCGCCGCCAUCAAAUCCUGCGCCGAGUCCCUCAACCUCUCCGCUGGCCAGCAGCUCCACGGCCUCGCCCUGAAGUCCGGCCUUGACCGCUCCAACCUCUUCGUCCGCAACGCCCUCCUCAACGUCUACGCCAAAUGCAGCCGCCUCGACUCCGUCCUCCGCAUCUUCUCCUCCCCCAACACCGAGCGAGACUCCGCAUCUUGGAACAUUGUCCUGGCCUCCUAUGUCAGGUCCGACCGCCUCCCCGGUGCCCGCAGGAUAUUCGACGAAAUGCCUCACCGGGACGCCGUCUCCUUCACCACCAUGAUCAUGGGCCUCGCCCGGAACGGCCGCCCGGACGAGGCCGUCGCCACCUUCCGGGACAUGGUCGCCAGCGGUGUCCGGCCGAACGAGGUCACCCUGGCCACCGUCCUCUCCGCUUGCUCUCACCUACGCGCACCUCGAGGUGGGAGCAUGAUCCACGCCGCCGCCGUGAAGCAUGGGCUUGUUGAUUUCGUCCUGGUUGGGACCAAUUUGGUGCACGUCUAUGCUUCCUGUUCCCGGAUAGAUGACUCCCGAUCUGCCUUCGAUGCGUUGCCGGAGAAGAAUACUGUCACCUGGAACGUGAUGCUCAAUGGCUACGCCAAGGCCGGACAAGUCGGUCACGCCAAGGAUUUGUUCGAGAGAAUUCCGGCCAAGGACUUGGUUUCAUGGAGCACAUUGAUUGACGCGUUCUUACGGGUUCAAAGAUUGCAGGAAGCUCUCAGAAUAUACCGUGGGAUGCUGCAGGAUUUGGGUGAGAGGCCGAAUGAAGUGCUGAUGGUUGAUUUGGUGUCGGCUUGUGGGCGCUGUUCUGCGGUCCAAGAAGGUCAGCAGUUUCAUGCCGCGAUUACCAAGAUGGGACUCGACCGCCACACCUUUGUGCAGUCAACGUUGAUCCAUUUCUACGGCGCAUGCGGUCUGGUCGAUCUUGCUUGCCUUCAGUUCCAAGCUUGUCGCCAGUCGCAUGUUGCUUCCUGGAAUGCCUUGUUGGCUGGACUCUUGCGGAACAACUUGGUCGAAGCAGCAGCAGAAUUGUUUGAUAAUAUGCCUGAAAGAGACGUUGUCUCUUGGAGUACGAUGAUUGCUGGUUACGUCCACAAUGGUUCCUCCCACUUGGCUCUACAGCUCUUCCAAGAAAUGCAGCACAAGGGCUACGAAGCGAACGACAUCACAUUGGUGAGUGUUCUGUCUGCCGUUGCCGAUUCGGGCACUUUGGAUUACGGGAAGUGGAUCCACGAUCUCAUAACCAUCAGAAGGAUUCCUCUCACCGAUAACUUGAGCGCGGGGCUCAUCGACAUGUACGCAAAGCGUGGCAGCAUAGGAAACGCGCUCAACGUGUUUGACAUUGUGAAGGACUCAGCAUCAGUGUCACCUUGGAACGCUAUAAUAUGUGGCCUGGCCAUGCACGGGCAUGCAGAUAUGUCCCUCGAAGUGUUCAUGGAUAUGCAAAGUAGGAGCAUCACACCAAACUCCAUCACAUUCAUUGGGGUGCUGAGUGCGUGCUGCCACAAUGGCUUGCUAGACACAGGAAGACGAUAUUUUGAGAGCAUGAGAAGAGAGUACAACAUCGAGCCUACCAUCAAGCACUAUGGUUGCUUGGUUGAUCUGCUAGCACGAGCUGGUUGCUUGGAAGAGGCAGAGCGGGUGAUCGAGUGGAUGCCGAUGGAGGCAGAUGUGAUGAUAUGGGGAAGUAUGCUGGCUUCUGCGAGGACCCAUGGGAAGGUUGAGAUAGGGGAGAGGGCUGCAGAUAGCUUGGCUAGGUUGGAACCCAGUCAUGGGGCUGCAAGAAUUCUUCUGUCUAACAUCUAUGCAGAUGCAGGUCGAUGGUCUGAUGUCUUUAUGGUGAGGAGGGCGAUGCAGAGCAGUAGAUUGGACAAAACACCGGGAUGGAGUGGCAUUCUAUGACAACUAAUUGACACGAUAUCGGGUAAUUUCACUGAGAAAUGCUUUGUUUAUUUGUAGUAACAAUAGUUGAUAAGCAUUGAGAAGGAGGAUGAAAGUUGUUUUUGUAUGUAUGGUUGGGGAAGAAUCAAUCAAGCUGAACCCCCCCUCCCUUUACAUUUCAAGUUAUUCAUUUCCAGACUACUUGAAAGAGAAGUUGUGACUAAUCUAUAGUUGGAUUGAUUCAGAUGUUGAAGCAAAGUUGCAGUAGCCCAUGGAUGUGUCAUGAACAGCAGCAGCAGCAGCAGCAGAUCCUAGUCAAGACAAGUCCUUAGAUGUUUUAAGGUAAAAGUUCCAUUAUAAUCAUAUAUGUGCUCAACUCAAAAGAUCCAUUUUCUAGUGUAGAAAAUGCCUCACUUUAAUAUUACUAAAAAUAUAAAAAGUUUUCCUCUGAAAACAGUUACAAAAGAACACUAGAAUCAGAUUCAUGAGUUGGCACUCAGAGAUCCUUUCUCGUUUAGUCAUUGUUUCAGACACUACCUCUUCAAACACCGAACCGCUCAAUCCGAAGAUGGAGGAAGGGAGAGGAAAGGCGGACUCAUCGACCAUGGUGGCGAUGGUUUAAAAGCGAAGAUGAGGUUGCGGGCGGGGUUGGAGCCGACCACAAUCAAUGUAUAGCUCUACCACAUAGUUGAGGAGAGUUGGGCUGCUUUAGUUGACCUCGCCGCCACCACUUGAGUUGUACUCCUUAUUCUGAAUUGGUGAUGACAUAAAUUAAUCAUUGUAAAAGAAUAGCCCUUUUUUAUGAUAAUAAUUAAUUGAUGAAGGGGACUCUUACCAUCUAUAUAACAUAACAUGAACGAGGGUUGUUGUAGCUACACGAGCAUCUUCUUCUCUGCACGACUAUGGUUGCUGAACUUUGAAUACUUAGGUCUUUCGAUUGAUGCAAAGUUGGGUUUCUUAGUUUUUCUCUGUCUAUAUCUCAUUAUAUGAGUUAAUCAUAGCAAUAGAUUACAACCUUUUUUAUAAUAACAACUAUUUAAUGCAAGGAUUUCAAAAUAUAUGAGUCUAUAUACCAUGAAUUAGGGUCGUUGUCGAUGUAUGAUCGAUCACCUUCACCGUUUGACGAUAUGACUAUGGUUGCGACAUUGCGAAGUUUCUAUGUGGCGCAUUUCGUCACUCGCCUUCCAUCAUCGUCUCCAUCUCACCAUAUAUAUUUUUUCUUUCUCUUUCCUCUUCUUUUCUUCGGGUGCCUUUGGUGUGUUGAUCCAUAAGCUUGUUAUAGUCUCAAAUCAUUCCGACUUGGCACAAGUCCAAUACCCAAAAUUAGAUCGAGGCCUCCAUGUACUGGUUAAAUAAUACAACCACCCAAAUGCAUGACAAUUUCGGAUUUCCUGUAGCCACUCAGUGAAGUAAUAUAUCAACUGCAGAAAAUUCUCCACAGCCAUAUAUAUAUGAUAAGUGCAAGCAAGCUAAGCAUGCCUUUUGAAAGCUUGCCAUGUUGAAUAUAAUCUCCAAUUAAUCUAAAUUGUACACAAACAUAUGUUCAUUUCUACGUGCAUUUAUAUGUAUGUUGGACACAAACACAUGAAUACACGUAAGCUCCCUAUGCAUGACAUUGAUACGACAACCUCAGAUGUGUGAAGCAAAUGGAGACCAAAGACCUAUAUAUUGGGGGCAAUUGUAACAUUGUAACUCUAUAUACAUAAACGCAUCCUCAGCAACUAUGCUUGUUAGGUUUUCUGGUUCAGACUUGGUAUCCAGAAUUAAAGUAAUUCACGCAAAAGAUCUAAACAAAUCGCUAAACGAUGACAACUAAAUGGAAAUACAUUAAGAUGAGAAACAUUACAGUGUACAGUGUCCCAUAUUGCUUUGGUCAUUCCGUUUAUGAUUGUCCUUCAACAUGCAUCACAGCAAUCCAACCGGAAAGUGCCCAACAACAUCAGCAAACUAUGUGACCAGUCAAUUAGGUAUGAUAGAUAAAAGACUAAUGCUUGGAUGAUGGACCAUCAAAUUCGACUUUCCAGUAGGUCAUAAAUCUCCUCUUGUCAAAUUGUAUGAAACAAUUCCGGUCGCGACACCAAAGAUUAGUGGUUUCUCUCCGGUUGGUGUGCUCUGGUCAGCGAGCUUGAGACCCUCCAUAAAUGUUCGUACCGCUUGCAGUACUCAUGCCACCAUAAGAAUCAAUUCCCUCGGCCGAUGCCCCACUGGUCAUGUGAGCUUGAGGCCUUCCAUGUGCUUCAGUAUAGUGGGCAGGAUUAGCAUAGCCAAAACCUGCAUCUGCAUAGUUUACAAUGGGAACAUGGCUACCAGCCAUGUAGCCACCACCUCCCAUGCUAAAGCUGUGAUUUGGAUAACCAGUGCCUUGUCCUGCUGUCUGAUGCAUACCUCCAUAUUGGUUGGGUGCUGUUUCACAGAGGAAUUUCAAGAAAAAUGUGACUAGAUAGAACAAUCAAAAUAUACACAAAGACAAGAUCAGAAAAAUAAAUACCAUUUAUUAUCUGUUCAGUACCUGUCACUUCAGCUCUCAGCCUCUCGACUUCUUUGGCCAUAGACAUCAGGUUUUUCUCCAUGGCACGCAUCCGCUCCACUUGCUCGAUAUUCAAACCCUUCUCAUAUUCAAAAGUAGCACUUUUCCAAAAAGAAAAAAAAUUGCAAUUUAGUUAUUAUCUCAGAAACAAAAAAAAGAAAAAAAUUAAUGAAGAAAAAUUCCAAAGGAUAUAAGAACCACACAACACACCGUAAUGUCUGGUGCUCCUGUCUCAAGCCAUCUAACUCAGAAUGCAUCUCAGGCAACUUUUUGAAGCCUGCCGUUGAUUUUUGUAGUUCUUCUGUCACGACCUGUAUCUCAGCAGAGAGUUCCUGUCUCACAGUUAUCAGGUUCUGUGCCUCCAAAUGUGCUUGUUGGAGUUCCUUCUUCACCACAUCACCAGAAUGGAUAUCAUCUUCCAGUUUCCCAAUCUUCUCCAGUAAUCCCCUAAUUUGGAUAUCACUUUCAGUAUGGAUACUUCCAAGAUAAGCCUGCACUCUCUGCAUUUCUUUCUGAGUAGCAACGAGCUCCUGUCUCAUGGCCACAUUACUCUCCGCGAAUCUCUGGUUUUCUCUUGCAAUCCUUUCCAUCUCAGCUUCUUGAAUUGCAACCUUUUUUUCGAGGUGCUCAGGUGGAAGAAGGGCUUCUCUGGGGUGAUGAUCAGCAGGACCUGGCCCGGGAAGUGGUCCAUGGCGCAUCAUUCCAGGAGCUUGGAUAGGCCGUCGCCCAUAAGAUGAUGGCAUACGUCCAUGGGCAUCCAUGCUUCCAAAUUCACUUGUAUAGGAUCUAAAUGUAUUGAAUUAAAUAUUUAACAUGUUGUUAGUAUAAAUGUUGAAAAGAAACUUUCGGUAAGAGAAGAAUUAAAAGAGAACACGACAAAUUCACAUGUCCAGAGAUCCAGAUUAUAAGGAAUAAAAUCCAUGGCAUUCUGUUGUCCAUGACAAAAUAGUUUGUGUGAUUAUUCGUCAAAAAAUAUAUUGUUUGAAGAAUGUGUCUCCGAUAAUUGGUACCCACACCACUAUAUACAGAAUGCAUAAGCUUUCAUGUCUUUGUAAAGAUCCAGCAGACUUCACCUUUAAUUAUCAUAAGACAACGUUAGUAGUCAUUCCCAGAAUCACUUUAUCUUAUAUAUCUACUAGCAGCUUUGGUAUAAUUUACAUAGGUCAAGAUGAAAAAUAAGAUGAAGGGUCUACAAGCUUCCCCAAAAAUCUUUUGUUGUGUGUACCAUCUAGCCCUCAAAAUGGUCUAAAGAAUGAAACCAAAGCCAUCAAAACCACAAAAACAAAAUUGUUAAGUUCUUUUAAUUUAUUCAACUGUAGCCUGCACUGCUGCAAUCCCUAGAUCAUGCGUAUUUAUCUACAUCACAAGAACAUUACUACUAUAUUGUUGGUGCUAGUUAACAAAGUUAAGAUGAGUAGAACAUCCUAGCACCUUCCACCACCAUCACUGGUUCUAACGAGGAACAAUAUACCGACACCAAUCCUGCUACAACACGUCUACAUCAACACCCUCCAAGUCAACAUUCCCCACCUGAAUUAGGGAGGAAGGACGACCCAGUGCGACCCAACAUGUCUACAUCAUACGGUUUGGCCCCUAGUACGAAAAAGACAGCAAGCCAAAAGGCCUUGCAUCAGGCAUCACUUUUUGACUGGGCAUUGUUCCUACGCCAAUCACAAUUCCCAUUGAUCCGACCAAAAACUGCCCUUUGCACCAGAGACCACUUCCCCUGUCAAGUUUCAGAUGCCUCCUGCCAAGCACCAAACAUAAUUUUCCAUGGCAGUCACCACUCCCCUGGUUAGCAUCAUUACCGGUCAGGAGUCAUCCCGUGUAUCACAGACAUAGAGGAUGUCCCCUAUCACCAUGAAAAGUACAAAAAGUUCCUCCCUAAUUGUACAUUAUGUAACCAAUCCCGUAUGGUAAUAAUAGGACACAUUCACUCACUUCAAUCCUAAUUUUAACUUUCCUACAAUUACUUUCACUUGGACUCGGGGUUCCAUGAAUCCCUAGCCCUUGGGAACUCCCUACUGACUUGAGUGCCGGCAGAGGAUUGUCGAAGAAGGCUCUAGCAUAUCUUUCUGUCUUGCAAAAAACCCUUUUCAAAGAGACGAACGAAGGAAUGUGACUCUGGUUGGUUCCACUCGAACUAGCGUGAAUUAUGACCCUCGUCUUUGUGAUUUACGAAGAGAUCCAUCAAGUUCCAAAGAUCUUAUUCCUCUUCCAAGAAGUUGGGGCGAGCAGCAAAGUUAAGCAAAUGAUAAAAAACAACUGUUUAUUCUACAAAAUAAAAGAUUGAUUUCUGUGUUUUCUUAUCUUCUCUUCUAUUAACAUAUUUGUUAAGAAAUAAAAAUCGUAUCUUUUAACCAUAAAUAUAAAUACAAUUUGCAUUUCUCGGGCAAUAGGCUAAAAGAAAGAAAAACUAAAGAGCUUCUGAAUUUAGUUGUGGACUAAUCAUGUACCAACACAAAGUCAGCAAUUGCUCCCAACAAAACCCUAACCAUAAGUGCGAGCGAGGACGCCCAGGGUGGAAAAGAGAGAGAGAGCCUUACGUCGGAGCGCGCUGAUUAUGCUGUGGAUUGACGACGGAGCGACGGCGGUGGAACGGUGGAGCUGCGACGGAGGCCCGGUGUAGGUGUCGACCAGAGCCCUAAUCGCGUCCCUUCCCACUGCGACUCCAGAGAACCGGGAAGAAAGAGACGGCAAAAAAGAAUAUAAAAAAGGAGUUCAUAAAUUAGACUUUAAAAUAAUAAUAAUAAUAAUAAUAACAAUAAUAAUAAUAAUAAUAAUAAUAUAGUAUUUAUUUAUUUCAUUUUUUUUUCUCGAUCGUAGAAAUUUUAAAUCAAAUAAUAAUAAUAAUAAUAAUAAGGUGAUUGUGUUAUAGUUGAUUGGAGAAUCAAAAUCAAAGUACAUCAAAAUUGAACUACAAAUGUCCCUAAAAUCAGCAAUUACAACUAAUCUCAUGUGAGUCAAAUUCAUUUUGUUUUAAGUUAUAAUUAUAUCGUUACAAUGUUGUUAAAUUACGAAAUUAUAUUUAUUUUUUAAAAUAAUAUUAAUAUAAAACUAUAUAUAAUAUAUAAGAUUUAAUAUAAUAUAUUCGUUUUUAAAUUAUGGGUGGUAAAAAAAUUAACAUAAAAUUCAUGCACUUUAAAAUCAUAUUGUAUAUUUAAAAUAUGUCUAAAAAAUACAAUAAAAGUAAAAUAAUGAAAAAUGAUCAUGCCAUUUAAUAUAAUAACAAAUUUUGAUAUUUAUUUGCAUAUGUCUUAAUAUUUCUUAUUUUUAUUUGUAUUUUUAUCAGUUAUUUAGUCUACUUCUAUGCAUAAAAAAAUGUGAUCAAUGUUCAAAUGAAUAAAUAAUCAAUCCAUUUCGGCCAAAAUUAUUCUUAAAUAAAUUAUAGAUCAUGAAUCUGUAAGCCAAUUUUUAGAAUAUUUUCUCUCAUCUAUUACACAAUGUCAUGAACCUACUUGUUGACCCAAAUCAUGUGAGCUAAUAUAUAUAUAUAUAUAUAUAUGCUCAAAGUAAUGAUGAUAGAGCAAUCUAAUCAUAAAUAAAACAUGAGACAAAAUUGAGUGUGGAAUGUAAUUUUGAUCCUAACAACAAAAUAUACUCCAAUCCUUUAUUAACAUUCAUUGUGCAUGAUAUUAAUAUUUUUUUUCCAAAUGUAGAAACUAUUUAAAUUACUUCACAAUUCUAGUGCAAUAAAACCCUUACCCUUUAGAGCACAAAAUAGAGUAUAAAUGGUAGGUCAUUCUCCACCACCAAAAUUUUGACUUCCUCUAAAUCCUUCAAUGUAAUUGUAAGAUAUUUUAAACUCAAAAAAAUGUUACAAUAUAGUAAAAAAACAUUUCAUGAAUUUUGCAGCUUGAAUCGUUUUCCAAUAUAGUAUCCAUUAUAUGUAUAUAUAUAUAUAUAUAUAUAUAUAUAUGUAUAUAUAUGUAUAUAUAUAUAUGUAUAUAUAUAUAUGUAUAUGUGUAUAUGUAUACAUAUACACGUAUACAUAUAUAUGUAUACAUAUAUACAUAUGCAUAUAUACAUAUAUACACAUAUAUAUACAUACAUAUAUAUAUAUAUACAUAUACAUAUACAUAUACAUAUACAUAUACAUAUACAUAUAUACAUAUACAUAUAUAUAUUCACGAUGUGAUGAUCGAAUCGUUCACAAAUUGGCUGACGACGACAUGAAUUUGGGCUUUCUUCCACUCUCGACCCAGCCGAAACGAACAAGCUGCUAGGGGUUGCUCCGCUGUGCCAGCCGAGGCAGGCUACAGGUUUGAUGUCCACUGAUGUGAUGAAUUUUACCCACGUCACCAUGGGCCCCACUACUUUUACGGUCCACUGUCGGAAGAUUUCCCUGAAUUGCGUUGUGAGAGGGACAGCCGAGGGGUUGUGGAGCACCGCGACCUUUCGGAAGCCCAUCUCGGCCUUCGCGUCGCAUCGCAUCGCAUCGUGCCGGCGAGCAGUCGUUGACACCGCGCGGACGCCCAAAAUAAACCCGCAGCUGCUUUUGGGAUCGCGUCGCGUGCGCAUCGAGCGUGGGGUUCUGGCUCACCAAACCCUCGUUUCGGCAUCGAUCGGGCCGGGCAGCACAAGCGGAGGGCGGGAGGGAUGUCGGGAAUCGAGAUCAGCGUGCUGCUGGACAAGUCCAAGGAGCUGGACCAGCUCCGCAAGGAACAGGAGGAGGUCCACCAGGAGAUCAACAAGAUCCACAAGAAGCUACAAUCCAGUACUUCACCCCCUAUCCUUCUCUUCGCCCCCUUUCACAAUAGCAACAACAAAAACAGCAUUUUGCUUCUUGAGUUGUUAGUGCUGCGUCUCCUUUCGAGCCAUUGUUGAUUUCUGUUGCUUUCUGCCUUGAUUCUUGUCUUGCUUCUCUUCCACAAGGCGUUGUGUUGAGGUUUGCCUGUCGUGUUUUGCACACUGCAACAUCUGGGGGAUGAAAGCCUUCGGUCUCGCUAGAGCGCAUAUGGCAAAUGUCAAUUCCUCUCGUUUCUUUUUUGUUUUUACUGGAAAGAGUACAAAUUGUUUACUGAAGCAUGAUCUGAAGCAGGUAUUGCCUAUAAAUUAACAAAUUUGCUGAUAGGAGUUCCGAGUAUUGCAUUUUUGGCAUGAUCUACACGGUCCGCAAACAUCUAUAAGUUGUUAAAAUAAUGCCUCGCGAACACUGAAUUUGUGCACUUUAGUCCACUUUUCGUAUUAGUUAUUAGAUUUGUCCUGUUAACUUGCUGUCACUAUCAUUGUUUCGAUGUGGUUAUAUAGUUGUUGGUGUGGUACAUAUCUUCUCUGUUCCUAGAUGUUUUGAUGUUUC